UCCGCUGCUCCCCGCUCUCCCCUCCCGACCUCCCCGCUCCCCGCAGCCGGCUUCCUCCCCGCUGCGCCCGCGCCCGCGCCCACGCUCGAGCUCAGCUCCCCUGCUUCCCGCGCUCGCGCUCGCCCUUCCCGCGCUGCACCGCCGCUACCACCCCCUCCCAUCCCGUGCUCGCGCGCCAAAUCGCGCCACCGCCGCGGCGCUGCCGCCACCCCGUCCCCUUCCCUGCAGCGCGCCAAAACGGCGCCCCCACUUUGCAGCGCGCCAAAUCGGCGCCUUCCCCCUUGCAGCCCGCCAAAUCGACGCUGCCCCCGUCGAUCUCCUUUGCAGCUCGUCCCUCUGCCCCCAAAUCCUGUCUGAUUCGCUUCCCCCACCACCAUCUGCUCCAUGCUGGCUUGGAUUUGGAGGAACCAGUGGCUCGAGUUCUUCCGCACAUGGAAACCAAGCUUCAAAUCCAUGAGCAAGGAUGCUCCUCUUAUUAGUUUGUCGAGUGAAUCAGUUCAGAUGAUGGGCUUCCUGGCUUGCUGUUGUCUCACUGGAGGAAGGACCUUGUGAAGGUUGGCUGGACAGAGAGAUGGAUAGCGCUGGUGGCUGCCUGUGUGAAGGGUUGGCAUGUGAUUUGGAGAGAGUUUUAUUUUUUUUGUUAUUUUUCAUUUAAAUGUGAAAAUGAUCCAAGGUCCUUAGCAUGUGAUAUAUUAUAUGCAAUCAUUUUAAUAUAUAUUAAUAUUGUAUGAAUAUUGAAGUUAAAUGAAAUUAUAUCCUAGUAUGUUGUUUUAUAAAUGGUUACAUAGUUCA
Panicum virgatum (switchgrass) is the source of this 792-nucleotide long non-coding RNA. RefSeq lists it as uncharacterized. The transcript is spliced from 2 exons. NCBI's taxonomy places the organism in Eukaryota, Viridiplantae, Streptophyta, Magnoliopsida, Poales, Poaceae. The record is from RefSeq and is a predicted model, not a curated record.